This 468-nucleotide ribosomal RNA is filed under the name uncultured bacterium. RNAcentral describes it as "partial 16S ribosomal RNA". It matches the Rfam family "Bacterial small subunit ribosomal RNA", at positions 28 to 507 of the family's 1533-position model. The record is from RNAcentral.
GACGAACGCUGGCGGCGUGCUUAACACAUGCAAGUCGAACGGAAAGGCCCUGCUUUUGUGGGGUGCUCGAGUGGCGAACGGGUGAGUAACACGUGAGUAACCUGCCCUUGACUUUGGGAUAACUUCAGGCAACUGGGGCUAAUACCGGAUAGGAGCUCCUGCUGCAUGGUGGGGGUUGGAAAGUUUCGGCGGUUGGGGAUGGACUCGCGGCUUAUCAGCUUGUUGGUGGGGUAGUGGCUUACCAAGGCUUUGACGGGUAGCCGGCAUGGGAGGGGGACCGGCGACAUUGGGACUGAGAUACGGAGCAGAGUCGUACGGGAGGCAGCAGGGGGGAAUAUUGUACAAUGGGGGGAAGCGUGAUGCAGCAACGCCGCGUGCGGGAUGACGGCCUUCGGGGUGUAAACCGCUUUAGCCUGUGACGAAGCGUGAGUGACGGUAAUGGGUAAAGAAGCACCGGCUAACUACGUG